RNAcentral lists this ribosomal RNA (939 nucleotides) under Lomentaria articulata. RNAcentral's name for it is "eukaryotic LSU rRNA". It matches the Rfam family "Eukaryotic large subunit ribosomal RNA", at positions 165 to 1180 of the family's 3401-position model. Lineage: Eukaryota; Rhodophyta; Florideophyceae; Rhodymeniales; Lomentariaceae. The record is from RNAcentral.
UGGGAUGUCAGUUUGGGUAAGUGGCAUGGAAAUGUCUACCGCGGAGGGUGAAAGUCCCGUCCAGCCCAUUCAGGACAUUUCGCACGAAGUUGCUCAUAUGAGUCGCGUAGCUUGUGAAUGCUGCGCUAAGUCGGUGGUAAAUCUCAUCGAAGGCUAAAUACUGGUAGGAGACCGAUAGUGAACAAGUACCGUGAGGGAAAGAUCAAAAGCACUUUGAAAAGAGGGUGAAAAGAACCUGAAACCGUUACGACAGAAGCGUAUUGCGUUGAAUUGAGGGCUGUUUAACUCUUCAGCUGAACGUGAGUUUAGUGUACUGAGUUAAGUAGUUAUCCGUCGUGCCUUUUCUGUGGCUGAUAUUGAGCCGCGGGAGAGGGAGGGAUCCCCUUUAUGGGUGAGGACGAUGGAGUGGCAACGCGAUGCGACCCGUCUUGAAACACGGACCAAGGAGUCUAACAUGUUUGCGAGUUGAAGGGUAGUAAACCUGGAGGCGCAGUGAAAGCGAACUUCUAAAACGGACAGUUUGUGGCGGCAUAAAAUCGUUGAUUUUAGGUCUGACUAAGAGCAAAUAUGUUAGGACCCGAAAGAUGGUGAACUAUGCUUGAGUAGGCCGAAGGCAGAAGAAAUUCUGCUGGAGGGCCGAAGCGGUGCUGACGUGCAAAUCGCUCGUCGAACUCGAGUAUAGGGGCGAAAGACUAAUCGAACCAUCUAGUAGCUGGUUCCCUCCGAAGUUUCUCUCAGGAUAGCGGGCCGACAAUUAUUGUUUUGUGCGGUAAAGCGAAUGAUUAGCGCACUCGGGGGCAUUCAGUCUUCGGUCGAUUCUCAAACUUUUAAUGCGCAAGGGGGCUGCAGCUUAGGUGUGCGGCUCCUCUAAAAAUGUCGGCCUUGUGGGCCACUUUUGGUAAGCAGAACUGGCGAUGUGGGAUGAACCAUACGCGUGGU